CCUACGGGGGGCUGCAGUGGGGAAUAUUGCACAAUGGGCGCAAGCCUGAUGCAGCCAUGCCGCGUGUGUGAAGAAGGCCUUCGGGUUGUAAAGCACUUUCAGCGGGGAGGAAGGCGGUGAGGUUAAUAACCUCAUCGAUUGACGUUACCCGCAGAAGAAGCACCGGCUAACUCCGUGCCAGCAGCCGCGGUAAUACGGAGGGUGCAAGCGUUAAUCGGAAUUACUGGGCGUAAAGCGCACGCAGGCGGUCUGUCAAGUCGGAUGUGAAAUCCCCGGGCUCAACCUGGGAACUGCAUUCGAAACUGGCAGGUUAGAGUCUUGUAGAGGGGGGUAGAAUUCCAGGUGUAGCGGUGAAAUGCGUAGAGAUCUGGAGGAAUACCGGUGGCGAAGGCGGCCCCCUGGACAAAGACUGACGCUCAGGUGCGAAAGCGUGGGGAGCAAACAGGAUUAGAUACCCGGGUAGUC
This 465-nucleotide ribosomal RNA is filed under the name uncultured Klebsiella sp. RNAcentral's name for it is "bacterial SSU rRNA". It matches the Rfam family "Bacterial small subunit ribosomal RNA", at positions 338 to 795 of the family's 1533-position model. The record is from RNAcentral. Lineage: Bacteria; Pseudomonadati; Pseudomonadota; Gammaproteobacteria; Enterobacterales; Enterobacteriaceae.